UGCUGUAGUAUCCUAGGGGUCUACUCCAGUCCCUGGUUACCUCGAAUUUUCCAGUCCCUGGAUGUCUCACCAGUGAAGGUUGUGAAACAGCAAAAAUGGCAGCCUGCACCCUCCUCUGGGAGCUCCAUCCCAAGAAGAUGUUGGCACUUCUUAGGAAGGAGCCAUCCAUGUCUGAAGAGAAGAAAUGAUAAUUAACUUCAUCAUGUGGAAAGCUUUAGAAGGAAGUAUCUUGUCCUUCUGUCCAAACCCGCCUCCUCCUUACCACCCCCAAUAAAAAUAAAAGCCAAACAAAUAAAACAUUAGCAGUAGCUCUGAGUUUCUUCCUUUCACUUUUUCUCUCUCUUCAUGCCUUUUCUCCUCCAUUCCUUCCUUCUUUCAAAUCAUUUUUACUAGUUUAAGAGAAUAAUUCAAUCUAUAUUUAGAAAUCAGACUUAAAACUUCAAAAAUUAUACUGAAAUAGCUUCCCCUUAAAGGGUGAAACAGUCAUGAUAAAAAUAACAACCGAUAGAAUAAAAUAAUAUAAAAUUAGCUGAGUUUAUAGUUUCUUUUACACCUCCAUAAUUUAUGUGGAUUUGGAAAUACAGACAGUAUACUGAAAACUAAGAAGUUUUCUAUGAAUUAUGAGAAUUUGCAAUCCACAUAGGCUUAAGUCUAAUGUUAGAAGAUAAAACAAAUUGACCUUAAAUAACUUUCUGACAUAACCUCCCCAUUUCAUGGAUGAAAAACCCUAAAGCUCUCAUAAGUAAAGUGAUUUACUUCAGGACACAAACUAGUUGAUUUAGUUUGGAUGUUUGUCCCCUCCAAAUCUCAUGUUGAAAUGGAAUCCCCAGUGUUGGAGGUGGGGCCUGGUGGGAGGUGUUUGUGUCAUGGGGCAGAUCCAUUAUCCUUAUGAGCUGCUUGGUGCUAUCCUUGUGAUAGUGAGUGAGUUCUCAUGAAAUCUGGUUGUUUAAAAAUUUGUGGCACCUCCCCACCAGCCUUGCUCCUGCUCUUGCGGUGUGAUAUGCCUGCUGCCUCUUCACCUUACACCGUGAUUAUAAGCUUCCUGAGGCCUCACCAGAAGCAGUUCUUCUAUCAGGAUUUUAAGAGGGCAGGCAGAACUUUAAAGCAAAGGAAAUUGCUUGUUUUUGUGAAAUUAACCAGUCUGUUAUCAAGGCGGAGGACAAGAUACGAAUGCUAAUCAUUGUGAAGAAACUCAUUACGGAAUUUUCUCCAAUACAUAGGCAAAAGAAGUGGCUGUUAUCAUUUUGCACUAUAACCAGACAUAUAAUGCUGUUGCUCCACAUCCACGUCAGAGG
RNAcentral lists this long non-coding RNA (1295 nucleotides) under Homo sapiens (human). RNAcentral's name for it is "HSALNT0321992". The record is from RNAcentral. Lineage: Eukaryota; Metazoa; Chordata; Mammalia; Primates; Hominidae.